This 899-nucleotide long non-coding RNA is filed under the name Salvia miltiorrhiza (redroot sage). RNAcentral describes it as "long non-coding RNA (SMIL_LNC008938)". The record is from RNAcentral. Lineage: Eukaryota; Viridiplantae; Streptophyta; Magnoliopsida; Lamiales; Lamiaceae.
GUUAAUAAUUUGAACAAAUGGAAUUGAUCUUUUGUGUUAUUCUGAAUACAUAAGGACAUUGUACAUAUACUUCACGGCGAAAAUAGAAUACAAAUAAAUAUCCAUCCUGCACAGCUACAGGAAAGAGCCCUUUCUCCUUGUGUUGACCUCCUUAAACCGGUAUUUUCUCUGUCUUUGCACAAUCAAACAUGUAUACACAAUUCAUAAGCGUGUUGUGUUUCAAUAUUAUACAUACAAUACAAUUCAUAAAUGCAAAUUGUGUUUUAAUAUUAAUACAUAGCUACAAUAAGAAUAGGAUCUACAGGAAAUUAUCUGAGUGAUUCAAAAAAUUAUAUUUAUCUGAGUGACACGUAAGCAAUGGGAUCCAGGCGGACUCGAACCGCCGCCCUCUCAACGCGUGGAAGCAAUUGAGCGCUCACCCUUUCGAGCUUAUGGAUCCAUCCAACUCACACAACAUUUUUAUUAAUAUUUAUAAAUUUUACUUGAGCCCACAGAUGAUUCAAAUUAUAUUAUGACUGAUCCCCCAGGAUAAAAGAGUGUUUCCAAAUAGUAUGAAGUCGAAAUUAAUUUUAAAAAUAGGCCAAACAAACAAACUACGAUGUUUUUCAUGAAUUAGCCGCUGUAUCUUGAACCACACGACCAUUCUAACUAAGGUAAUUUACUUCUUAAAACACUAAUAUAAACUUGAUUUAAAACUUUCAUGAAUUAGCCGCUGUAUCUUGAACCACACGACCAUUCUAACUAAGGUAAUUUACUUCUUAAAACACUAAUAUAAACUUGAUUUAAAACUCUACUUUUGAGUGUAUGUCGGCACAAAGACCGAACAUAAACAUAGAGCAUUAUUGUCAUGAUCUACACCUCAAAAAGCAUGCAUGUCACGUAGGAGUGAAAACCUGACC